UUGUUUUGGUAAAAAAAAAUACCAAAUAAUGGGUUGUUUGUGGAUAAAUUAAAUCACUUUUUGGGUAGUAGGACUGAUUUUGAUUAACUAAAUCAAGGGAGGGGUGAUUUUGUUUAUUUUAAAUCAUGGUUUGAGUCCUUUGACCUUCGACUGGUCAAAAUAGGAACCGAUAGAAACGGUAAGGGCUUGUUUGCUUCGUCAUUUGUUGAACGGGAAGGGAAGAACGUCUGCGCGAGCAGACGAACGAGAGAGAGGGAAAAGCGAAGGCUCGUCGGUCGAUUUGCAAAGCCGAGAUGGUCUCCGACUCCGAGGUCCGACUUGCCCGAAGAAUAAAUGGGAGAAGUAGCGAAGAUGUGCUCUUCUGGGUCGGCUGCUAGGUGCGAAGGAGGACGAUCGAUCGGUGACACCGUGGAUUUGAUGGUGCGGCGGUGGCCGACAAAUCGCGAGGAGAGGAGGGCGUCGACCUCCGACGACCCUCCUUGGUCCAUUUGUUCCGUCGUUGGUAGCCACAGAUCGAGAAAAAUAACGCAACGAAGAAUAACGGACAUAGCCACAGUGGGCAGCUCCGAAGUUCAAGCGGUUUGCGGGGAAGGGAUCCUCCUAUCUCCGGCGACCCGUCUAUGGUAUCCCUGCUCGUCGCCGGUGGCAGCAAUCGGAAGGAAAGAAGCUCAGAAGUAGUGGCAGGCGACAUUUGGGGUAUGCAGUUUCCUCUGGUGAGUUCUUCGUCUCCGUUUCUCCCUUUUAGUUGUCACAUGUUUGAGUCAAGAACAGCAACAGCGGUUGCCAAGGGAGACAGGGGAGGGUGACGGGGCCAGAAGGGGGCUGCUCCAGUAAUCCUUCUUGCUUCAUUUCUCUAUUAUUAUCUUUUUUAUAUGAUUGUUUGUGCAGGAACACGGAAAAGGUAACCCUUGACAGCUCACUAUGAGAAAUAGCUUCUAAGUUCUAACUAGAUUGUUUUGUAUGUAUCUUUGUAUAAAAUGGUUUGUUUUGUGUGUAUCUUUGUAUAAAACAAGGGUUGUACAAUAAUUUGUAUAAUUUGUAUAAAUAUAGAAAAUUGUUAACAAUUUACAUAAUAUUUAUUAUGUAAUAUGCCUUUAUUUUUGAUAAUGAUAGUAAUUUUUUUUAUAUUAAUUUUCAUCCAAUUUGAGUUUUCUAUCAUCCAUUAUAGCAACGUACUUUCUUCCCAUGUAAAAUUUCCAUUAUUGGUUUACAAAUAUAUUUUUUUGUUUAUAUUUUAUAUGACCAUCAUACAAGUACAUAAAUUAUAUAAUAAUCUGCUUAAAGGUUAAACUUCCCUCAACUUUAAUUAAUUCAUUUCUUAUAUUUAUAUAUUCAUGUCCUGCAUAACUAAUAAUACUGUUUACUAGUUUUUGCCAACAAUUGUUUUCGUCAGUUUACUAGGUUUAUCAUAUACCAAAUUUCCACUACAUAAUAUCAUUAUGUGUUUCAUAUAUAAGUAUCCUUAGUACGGAGUUAUUCCAAUUUGUGUAAGAAAUUUGUUUAUCAAUCUCAAAUCAGUUAAAAUACAACAUGCACUCUUCCCAAAAUAUAAAAUCUAAAAAGGACUGGGGCUAAAGAACUCACAUAAACCGGCCAUGAUUUUUUUUUUCCGGACUACAUUUUCAAUAAUAGAAAUGAUGUCAAAAAUAGAUAUUUUAAUUAUUCACGAUUAAUAAAUCUAAAACCGUCUGAUUUUUCAACUUUUAUAGAUAAAUUUAGUAAAAGUAUUUCAAAUAUGAAAUCAAAUAUUAGGCUAUAGUCCGAGUCCAAAAAUGCUUUCGGAAAUUCCAUUUGAGGUGUUCAAGUCUCUCAAUUGAUAGAAACGGUUUUAGCGGUUUUUAGAAAAUCAGUAUUAUAUUGGUUUUGGAUUUUUAACACGGUCGUAUCUUUUGCAUAGGAACUCCGUUUUAGACAUUGUUUAUAUUUUCGGAAUCAGGGAAAGACGUACUACGAGAGUAGAAUGCUUGCUUUGCUCACAAAUGCGUAAUGCGAAAUUUCAGUUUUUAAGACGUAUUUUUAUGGUUGCAGUUUGAGCUAUUUGUUUCGUUUUUCAGAUUACACAAUGGGAAGUAAGAUACCGUCUGGUAUCUUAUAAUAGUCAAAAUAACUCAUUUAUUUUAUAUUAGAUGCACUACAACUCAUUGAAACAAUUUACAAAGAAACUUACUGUUAACUUGACCGUUCACAUUCUUUGACCUGAAUUCCGGAAUGUCACAUUAAAACAGUCAAAACUUUUCAAGAAACCGCAGUUGAACAUUUCUGACUGCGGUUCUCUGAAAACUCUGCGGUUCUUCAAAAACUCAAGCAAAACUGGCUUUCAAAGAACAUCUCAAGUCUCGAAACAAGAAGCGGGAUGAUAAAUAGAAAAACCAUUUCAAACAUCCCAAGAUUUCAAAUCUAAGGAGUUUAGAAAAACCCGUCACUGACAAAAAUCUUUCGAAAAUCACUACAGUCAAAGAAUCCGACAAAAGGGAGUGUAAGGUAAGAAGAAGUAUUCAAACACUCCUGCAAAAUCUCAAAAGAAAGUCAUGUCUUUUCAAAGAUCUAUUUUUCAAAAUUACUCCUUAAAAGAUCCAAAAUAGUUUAAUUUCUGUCAUUAUAAUUAUUUAAAACAUCAAACAAUUUUUUUUUUAUUUUAAAGUUAAUAAUAUAAUCAUUAUGUAGAGUUAUUUUUAACUGUUUUUAUUGUAUGAAAACUUUUAACGAUUAUAAAAAUAUCUUAAGGAAAUAUUUUAGUUAAAUUGAUAUUACAAUUUAGUUUUUUUAUUUAGCACUACAAUUUAUCAUUUUUAACUAUUCAUAAUAUAUUGUUUGAGUUGUUGCCAAAUGUGUUGUCAUAGAAUUUGACAUAUGUAAUUUUCUAAGAGUUUUUGAAUUAUUUUAUUCCACUUGUCAUUUUUUUAUAUUUUUCAUUUUUAUAAAUUUAAAAUCCACAUUUUAAUAAGAUUUAUAUAUGUAAGGUAGGUCAUUCUAUUUAAUUUCAUAAUAAAUGUUCAAUAAUCUUUGAAAUCUCUUAUAUUAUAUAUUAAAUUACUUACUUUAUUUUUUAUAUCUUUUAUAUUUAUGUAAAACUAUUACUUUAAAAAUAUGUAAUUAUUAUAACUUUAAAUUAAACUUUUGUUUUCAAUAAACCCAUGUCACACCUAGUUUGUAUAAUUUGUAUAAAUAUAGAAAAUUGUUCCCAAUUUCCCUUUUACAUAAUAUUAUGUAAUAUGUCUUUAUUUUUUAUAAUGAUAUAAUUUUUUUUUUUAUUGAUUUUCAUCCAAUUUGAAUUUCGUAUCGUCCAUUAUAGCAACGUACUUUCUUCCCAUGUAAAAUUUCCAUUAUUGAUUUACAAAUAUAUUUUCCUGCUUAUAUUUUAUAUGACCAUCAUAUAUAUACAUAAAUUCACACAACAUCAAAUUUAUUUGAAUUUAUAUAAUAAUCCGUAUAAAGGUUAAAGUUCCCUCAACUUUUAUUAAUCCAUUUCUUAUAAUUAUAUCGUGUCCUGCAUAACUAGCAAUACAAUUUACUAGUUUUGCCAAUAAUUGUUUUCGUUAGUUUACUAUGUUUACCACAUACCAAAUUUCUACUACAUAAUAUCGUUAUGUGUUUCAUAUAUAAGUAUACUUAGUAUGGAGUUAUUCCAAUUUGUGCAUGAAAUUUAUUUAUCAAUCCUAAAACAGUUAAAUACAACAUGUAAUGUCCCCAAAAUAUAAAAUAUCAAAAGGACGAGGGCUAAAGAACUCACAUAAACCAACAUUGAAUUUUUUUUUCUGGACUACAUUACCAAUAAUAGGAAUCAUGUUGAAAAUAAAUAGUUUAAUGUUUCCGGAUUAAUAAAUUUGAAAACAUUUGAUUUAUCAACUUUUAGAAAUAUUUUUACUAAAAGUAUUUCAAAUAUGAAAUUAAAUAUUAGGCUAUAGUCUCAGUCCAAAAAAUGCAUUCAGAAAUUCCAUUUGAGGUAUGCAAUUCCCUUAACUGAUAGAAACGGUUUUAGAGGUUUUUAGAAAAUCAGUAUUAUACGGGUUUUGGAUUCAUAAAACGGUCAUAUCUUUUGCAUAUGAACUCCGUUUUGGACGUAUUUUAUAUUUUCAGAAUCAGGGAAACACGUACUACAAGAGUAGAAUGCUUGCUUUGCUCUCAAAUGCUUAAUGCGAAAUUCUAGGUUUUCAAACAUUUUUUAUGGUUGCAGUUUGAGCUGUUUGAUUCAUUUGUCAGAUUACACAAUGGGAAGUAAGAUACCUUCUGGUAUCGUAUGAUAGUAGUUUAUUCGUAACAAUAUAGUAAAUUGUUAAAUAAUAAUAUUUUUAUAAAUUAGAUUUAUUGUAUUUUCGCAUAAAAGAUAAUAUAUUUUAAUAAACAAAAACAUAUAUAGGCACAUUUANAAAAUAUUAAAAAUGGGCCGUAAGCACUCACCCUUGAAGCAUGAGUUCCAAUCGUUCGAAUUCGUAUAUUUUUGAGAAACUCAUCGUGAGAAGCCACAAAUUCACAAUUUUUGAACUUUAAAGCACCUUCGGGACCGUUUUGUAAAAAUUUUCACAAUAAGGGUUGUUUUAUAAUUUCGCUAAAAUGUAAGGGUUGUUUGGUAAUUUAAUUGAACAAAUAUGACUGUUUCGGUAAAAAAAAAAAAAAAAAAAAAAAAAAAAAAAAAAAAAAAAAAAAAAAAAAAAACACACACACACCAAAUAAGGGGUUGUUUGUGGAUAAAUUAAAUCACUUUUUGGGUAUUGGGAUUGAUUUUGAUUAACUAAAUCAAGGGAGGGGUGAUUUUGUUUUUUUCAUGNAAUCAUGGUUUGAGUCCUUUGACCUUCGACUGGUCAAAAUAGGAACCGAUAGAAGCGGUAACGGCUUGUUUGCUUCGUCAUUUGUUGAACGGGAAGGGAAGCACGUCUGCGCGAGCAGACGAACGAAAGAGAGGGAAAAGCGAAGGCUCGUCGGUCGAUUUGCAAAGCCGAUAUGGUCUCCGACUCCGAGGUCCGACUUGGCCGAAGAAUAAAUGGGAGAAGUAGCGAGGAUGUGCUCUUCUGGGUCGGCUGCUAGGUGCGAAGAGGACGAUCGAUCGGUGAC
RNAcentral lists this long non-coding RNA (5049 nucleotides) under Lactuca sativa (garden lettuce). RNAcentral's name for it is "long non-coding RNA (LSAT_LNC006244)". Lineage: Eukaryota; Viridiplantae; Streptophyta; Magnoliopsida; Asterales; Asteraceae. The record is from RNAcentral.